GGAGGGGUGUCCGAGUGGUUUAAGGAGCUGGUCUUGAAAACCAGUGAUGCUCUCACGGGCACCGUGGGUUCGAAUCCCACCCCCUCCGCCA
This 91-nucleotide transfer RNA is filed under the name Neomoorella thermoacetica. RNAcentral describes it as "Moorella thermoacetica tRNA-Ser". It matches the Rfam family "tRNA". Rfam says of the family: Transfer RNA (tRNA) molecules are approximately 80 nucleotides in length. Their secondary structure includes four short double-helical elements and three loops (D, anti-codon, and T loops). Lineage: Bacteria; Bacillati; Bacillota; Clostridia; Neomoorellales; Neomoorellaceae. The record is from RNAcentral.